AAUAAAGUGGGCUAAUGACGGUACCGUAAGAAUAAGCACCGGCUAACUACGUGCCAGCAGCCGCGGUAAUACGUAGGGUGCGAGCGUUAAUCGGAAUUACUGGGCGUAAAGCGUGCGCAGGCGGUUAUAUAAGACAGUUGUGAAAUCCCCGGGCUCAACCUGGGAAUUGCAUCUGUGACUGUAUAGCUAGAGUACGGUAGAGGGGGAUGGAAUUCCGCGUGUAGCAGUGAAAUGCGUAGAUAUGCGGAGGAACACCGAUGGCGAAGGCAAUCCCCUGGACCUGUACUGACGCUCAUGCACGAAAGCGUGGGGAGCAAACAGGAUUAGAUACCCUGGUAGUCCACGCCCUAAACGAUGUCAACUGGUUGUUGGGUGCAUUAGUACUCAGUAACGAAGCUAACGCGUGAAGUUGACCGCCUGGGGAGUACGGCCGCAAGGUUGAAACUCAAA
Molecule: ribosomal RNA, 450 nt
Filed under: uncultured bacterium
Lineage: Bacteria
Description: bacterial SSU rRNA
Rfam family: Bacterial small subunit ribosomal RNA
Source: RNAcentral